ACAGUGGACGCGAGCAUCUGUGGCCAAGUUUUUAAGGGCGCACGGUGGAUGCCUUG
This 56-nucleotide ribosomal RNA is filed under the name Streptomyces anatolicus. Its description in RNAcentral is "partial 23S ribosomal RNA". The record is from RNAcentral. Lineage: Bacteria; Bacillati; Actinomycetota; Actinomycetes; Kitasatosporales; Streptomycetaceae.